UACUUUUUGUUUUGAAAUUAGGCAUUUGAUCUAUUCCCAUUUUACUAUACAUAAUAUGUACAAUUGCUGCGCGCACGCACGUAUGUAUGCCUGGAUCCUGAGUAUAGCUUCAGUAAGGCUUAAACCAACCAUGGACGCUGAUGUAAACUUACUUUGAUUUCUUUCUUAAUAGAUGACAUUCGUUUAAACAUCCAAACUCUUCUACCAAGUUUAACAUCAUCUGAAUAAAGAAUUAAAGAAAACACAGUUUAUAUAUGGAGAGUAGUUUGAAACCGGUCAUUCCAAGGGAAA
This 291-nucleotide long non-coding RNA is filed under the name Eurytemora carolleeae. Its description in RNAcentral is "uncharacterized LOC111710026". The record is from RNAcentral. Lineage: Eukaryota; Metazoa; Arthropoda; Copepoda; Calanoida; Temoridae.